ACGACUCUCGGCAACGGAUAUCUCGGCUCUCGUAUCGAUGAAGAACGUAGCGAAAUGCGAUACCUGGUGUGAAUUGCAGAAUCCCGCGAACCAUCGAGUCUUUGAACGCAAGUUGCGCCCGAGGCCACUCGGCCGAGGGCACGCCUGCCUGGGCGUCACGC
Molecule: ribosomal RNA, 161 nt
Filed under: Hordeum brevisubulatum
Lineage: Eukaryota; Viridiplantae; Streptophyta; Magnoliopsida; Poales; Poaceae
Description: 5.8S ribosomal RNA
Rfam family: 5.8S ribosomal RNA
About the family: 5.8S ribosomal RNA (5.8S rRNA) is a component of the large subunit of the eukaryotic ribosome. It is transcribed by RNA polymerase I as part of the 45S precursor that also contains 18S and 28S rRNA.
Source: RNAcentral